CUUGAACGCUGGCGGCAUGCCUUACACAUGCAAGUCGAACGGUAACAGGUCUUCGGAUGCUGACGAGUGGCGAACGGGUGAGUAAUACAUCGGAACGUGCCUAGUAGUGGGGGAUAACUACUCGAAAGAGUGGCUAAUACCGCAUGAGAUCUACGGAUGAAAGCAGGGGAUCGCAAGACCUUGUGCUACUAGAGCGGCCGAUGGCAGAUUAGGUAGUUGGUGGGAUAAAAGCUUACCAAGCCGACGAUCUGUAGCUGGUCUGAGAGGACGAUCAGCCACACUGGGACGUAGAAACGGCCCAGACUCCUACGGGAGGCAGCAGUGGGGAAUUUUGGACAAUGGGCGCAAGCCUGAUCCAGCAAUGCCGCGUGCAGGAUGAAGGCCUUCGGGUUGUAAACUGCUUUUGUACGGAACGAAAAGCCCCGGGUUAAUACCCUGGGGUCAUGACGGUACCGUAAGAAUAAGCACCGGCUAACUACGUGCCAGCCGCCGCGGUAA
This 498-nucleotide ribosomal RNA is filed under the name uncultured bacterium. RNAcentral describes it as "partial 16S ribosomal RNA". It matches the Rfam family "Bacterial small subunit ribosomal RNA", at positions 30 to 523 of the family's 1533-position model. The record is from RNAcentral.